GUGCUUGCUUUGGCAACACAUAUACCAAAACUGGACUGAUACAGGGAUUAGCAUGGCCCCUGUGCAAGGAUGACACGCAAAUUAGUGAAACGUUUCAUAUUUUA
Molecule: small nuclear RNA, 104 nt
Organism: Ochotona princeps (American pika)
Lineage: Eukaryota; Metazoa; Chordata; Mammalia; Lagomorpha; Ochotonidae
Source: Ensembl